GUAGGUGGCAAGCGUUGUCCGGAAUUAUUGGGCGUAAAGCGCGCGCAGGCGGUUUUUUUAAGUCUGAUGUGAAAGCCCACGGCUCAACCCGUGGGAGGGUCAUUGGAAACUGGAGAACUUGAGUACAGAAGAGGAAAGCGGAAUUCCACGUGUAGCGGUGAAAUGCGUAGAGAUGUGGAGGAACACCAGUGGCGAAGGCGGCUUUUCUGGUCUGUAACUGACGCUGAGGCGCGAAAGCGUGGGGAGCAAACAGGGAUUAGAUACCCUGGUAGUCCACGCCGUAAACGAUGAGUGCUAAGUGUUAGGGGGUUUCCGCCCCCUUAGUGCUGCAGCUAACGCAUUAAGCACUCCGCCUGGGGAUACGGCCGCAAGGCUG
This 376-nucleotide ribosomal RNA is filed under the name uncultured organism. RNAcentral describes it as "partial 16S ribosomal RNA". It matches the Rfam family "Bacterial small subunit ribosomal RNA", at positions 527 to 896 of the family's 1533-position model. The record is from RNAcentral.